GUAGGUGGCAAGCGUUGUCCGGAAUUAUUGGGCGUAAAGCGCGCGCAGGCGGUCCUUUAAGUCUGAUGUGAAAGCCCACGGCUCAACCGUGGAGGGUCAUUGGAAACUGGGGGACUUGAGUGCAGAAGAGGAGAGUGGAAUUCCACGUGUAGCGGUGAAAUGCGUAGAGAUGUGGAGGAACACCAGUGGCGAAGGCGACUCUCUGGUCUGUAACUGACGCUGAGGCGCGAAAGCGUGGGGGGAGCGAACAGGAUUAGAUACCCUGGUAGUCCACGCCGUAAACGAUGAGUGCUAAGUGUUAGAGGGUUUCCCGCCCUUUAGUGCUGCAGCUAACGCAUUAAGCACUCCGCCUGGGAGUACGGUCGCAAGACUG
RNAcentral lists this ribosomal RNA (373 nucleotides) under uncultured organism. Its description in RNAcentral is "partial 16S ribosomal RNA". It matches the Rfam family "Bacterial small subunit ribosomal RNA", at positions 527 to 896 of the family's 1533-position model. The record is from RNAcentral.